This 253-nucleotide ribosomal RNA is filed under the name uncultured bacterium. RNAcentral describes it as "partial 16S ribosomal RNA". It matches the Rfam family "Bacterial small subunit ribosomal RNA", at positions 524 to 776 of the family's 1533-position model. The record is from RNAcentral.
UACGAAGGGGGCUAGCGUUGCUCGGAAUCACUGGGCGUAAAGGGUGCGUAGGCGGGUCUUUAAGUCAGGGGUGAAAUCCUGGAGCUCAACUCCAGAACUGCCUUUGAUACUGAAGAUCUUGAGUUCGGGAGAGGUGAGUGGAACUGCGAGUGUAGAGGUGAAAUUCGUAGAUAUCAGGAAGAACACCUAUGGCGAAGGCAGCUCUCUGGGACGGUACUGACGCUGAGACGCGAAAGCGUGGGGAGCGAACAGG